Long non-coding RNA from Gadus morhua (Atlantic cod), 813 nucleotides. RefSeq lists it as uncharacterized. The transcript is spliced from 2 exons. The record is from RefSeq and is a predicted model, not a curated record. Lineage: Eukaryota; Metazoa; Chordata; Actinopteri; Gadiformes; Gadidae.
GGAGGAAGGGUGCUCUGAAUGAUGUGACUAGAGAGGGGGAGAGUCCUGAGAGCCUGACUGGCUGCCUCAGUUAUGGGAGUGGUUCUCAAAGGGGCUGCAUGGUAUAACUGUUCAAACUUGUCCGAUCCCCAAAGAAAUGAUUUGGGAUUCAGCAAACACUGCAAUCCAAUGUUGAGACGGCUGAGAACCAUCAAACCAUGGAAUCAAUAUUGGAGCAACUGGAAUAGUAUCCAACACAAUCAGAGAAUAUGGGAAUAGGAUAACUGCAGGAAUGAGAUAGAUCCGUCCUCAGAGAGCAGCACAGGUCGAUGGCCGCCCGAUGCUAACAGCAUUACCCUGGGCUGCGAUUGGCCGACACCAGCGGAGGCUCUGAUUGAUCCGGCAGCUCUCUGCCACGCUGGAUCAGCUCUCCUUCAUUUGUGGAGGAAAUAUUGAUAUUGGCCGAUAUCUGCUGUCGGAAACCAGCUUUAUAGUUUUAUAAUCGCGGGGUAUUUUUAGUGCUUGCGUGCAGUUUUUUUUGGGGGGGUAGAGAAUUGAUACUUAAUGACGUUUCCAUAUUUUUUUUUUGUUUGAGUCAGCACCAGAAUUUCCAACAGGUCCUAAUUUCCUCCCUUCCAUCUGGAGAUGAGAGUCGGAGGCAAACGGAUCAAUACACCGUUUGACUCUGCUAUUAGGCCUAUGAGUUGUCACAAUGUAAACUACAGAUAGCUGCAUAUAUGCUUAUACUUUGCGAAUAAUAAAUAACACCAAAUAAAUAACCGUGUAAGCUUCAUAAUAAAUCAUGAAACAUUAAAAAUGGCUUUGAUAAAUUGA